Molecule: long non-coding RNA, 1936 nt
Filed under: Sus scrofa (pig)
Lineage: Eukaryota; Metazoa; Chordata; Mammalia; Artiodactyla; Suidae
Description: lncRNA (ENSSSCG00040066496.1)
Source: RNAcentral
UGGAAUUAUUUGCUGCCUGAGGUCACGAAAGCUGCUUCUGGAUCACAGGUUAAUGACCCAACGGUUUUUUCUAGAAGGGGUGAGCUUAUGUGUGAGCGUGCGUGUGAAUCAAGUCAGUUGCUAAUUCCGUUCCUCUGUUCACUAGGACGGGGUCUAUUUUGAGCAAAUGAGGUCAAUGAAGUUGCGGGGAGAAGUGCGCGGCGUUGCCCGUGACUUCCGCACGUGGGGCAUUUUUCCACCAAGAGAAGAAGUUUGGCUUUAGGGAUGAGAAAUGCAGAAGGACACCAGGGUGGAAUGUUAAUGUGUAUCAUCAUAAGAAGGAACACUUGUUUUGUUUACACAACUGUGUCUCCAGACCUGAAGCAUCACCAUGCGGAGAAUCAGCGGAAUUACUUCCAGGUUUUCCCCACGGUCCGCAUUUGGUACAUACUCGCCGACAGGCCCAAAGGCUGUCUCUGCUCUGAACUUCGAACAGUGAUCAUUGCAGAAUUACAGAGAAACUGAUGGGCGUUCAACCACUGGCUGAGAAAAUGUUUUUGUUAAAAACAGACACGUAAAAAGAGGGAUAGUGGUGGUACCUCAAACCCACAGCGGCAAUUCCCCGCGUGUUGGGAGGAAAAGCCACGUUUUUCUGCAUGUUGUCUAAUGAGACAAGGAGGUGGGGGACAGCGGGUCCAGAAUGGGGGUUCCCUGCGCCCCGAAGCUUGGCCUGCGGGAGGGACCACGUGUCCUUGUGUGGGGGUGACAACAUCCGCACUGCCCCCACCCCAAGACCCUGGAAAGCGGGAGGAUGCGUAGGCUGGAAUCUUCUUUUAAAAAUUAAAUAUCUAUUUGGAACAUGAACUAGAAAUACCGAUGGACAAGCACACUCUAUAAAUAGCAUCUCUGUCCUGGCUCGUGACUGCAUCCAGUCUGUGACCUUCGAAGGCCUCUGAAAGGGCAGAGCCCGCCGCGGCCGCUUUGGACGGUUCUUAUCCCCAGGCCGGGCUGAAGGGAGCGUCUGGGGCCGCCUGGUGGUGUCUCCAUAAACACAGAUAUCCUCAGGGCGCCAGGCCACCCCUCUCUUUCCAGACAUUCCCCCCACCCCGGAACGCCUCUCAUGGUGUGGAGACCACCCCCAGCCUGUCAAACCCACAGAGCUCCCACCUUCAAACGUGCCCUCUUUGCCUGCACCCUUGGAGGGCAGGAGCCGAGUCUGGCUUAGGGCUGUAUGGCUGGAUCUGACCGUGACACCGGAGGCCUGGCGAGUGGGUGAUCUGUGUCUCUCAAACUCAGUAAGCCCUCUCCAGGCCUGAGGAUGAGGGCUUGGCAUCCCCAGGAGGCAGAAAGGCGGACCCUCAAGCCCACCCAGACCUGCGGAAUCAAUCUGCGUCCAACCAGAUCCCCAGAUGCGGUCCAGGCACAGCUUUGAAAUGUGAGGAGCCAUGAAGAGUCGACUGGUGUGGGCGAGGCUCUGCUCAGGACAGGCUUUGCUUCUUACACAAAUUAUAGCUGUUGGGAGGCUUGAAGGGGACCAUUCUCACAUUCGAGGCCACACACCCAUUAGCUAAGACGUCAGGACCGCCGCUGUUCAGACGGAGAUUUCUGUGACAUCGCUGACGUCCCUGCUUCAAAGACACCGCAGUCUCAGUACAACUGGCAUGUGAGUCCCACUUUCGGCUGAAUCUUGCACGUCGAGGGUGAAAGGCGGCAACUGGGUGUCAUGAAAUACAGUCUACUCCUUCCUCUAAAGAUAAAGAAAAAACCCACCCUGUCGCAGCUUCUGAGUGAAUUUUACCUGGAACUUAACCCAUUUUCUGAUCCGUGAUCCACUUACUUGUGUGUUUAUCUUCUGUAUCAUUCCACAGUGGAACUGAGUUGCCUACACACACACACACACACACACACACAUACACACACACACACUAAAUAAAAAUUAAAACUAAGGAUUAUGCCA